UCCCUGGAGGAGUAGUGGUUAGGCCUUGGCGCUCUCAUUGUCGUGGUCUGGGUUCGAUUCCCGGCCAGGGAA
Molecule: non-coding RNA, 72 nt
Organism: Pangasius djambal
Lineage: Eukaryota; Metazoa; Chordata; Actinopteri; Siluriformes; Pangasiidae
Source: the annotation of a GenBank genome assembly